This is a long non-coding RNA of Orbicella faveolata, 265 nucleotides long. The record is from RefSeq and is a predicted model, not a curated record. NCBI's taxonomy places the organism in Eukaryota, Metazoa, Cnidaria, Anthozoa, Scleractinia, Merulinidae.
UUGUCAAGCAGCACUGGACGAUCUACUUGUGUUUGAUCUGGCUUGUUUAGGACCUGCUCUCGCUAUCAUUUUGGUUUUGGCGUCUCUGGAGAGGCGUACCAAAUUCAAGCUGGAAUUAUUUGGUGGACGUCCUGGACUGCUAAUUCCAGUCAACUUUCUGGGUCGUCUUAGUAAUAGGUACACUAUUGCUGCAACGUUUGGAGCAACAGCCAGUAAAUGUGCUACACUCUUUUUCGAUACAGUGAUCAGGAAUGCCACGUUUGAU